UCAUUUUCUCAUUUGAAAGUCCUAUAUAUCAUAAACAUUAAGAGAAAACUUUACCAAAUAAUUUUGAUCAACCAAUUAUCCAAGAGAAACUAGGUUUGCAACUGAUUUUGGAAUAUAAUUAAAAGGUAUUAGGAAGAAACAAGAUCUUCUUCGAUUCAUCUAUUAAGCAAACAAUUCCAACACCUUUGAUGGAUGUUUUCUUCCAGUAGCAGUAAUGAUAGAAUGGCU
Molecule: long non-coding RNA, 228 nt
Filed under: Elaeis guineensis (African oil palm)
Lineage: Eukaryota; Viridiplantae; Streptophyta; Magnoliopsida; Arecales; Arecaceae
Description: long non-coding RNA (EGUI_LNC020011)
Source: RNAcentral